This 939-nucleotide ribosomal RNA is filed under the name uncultured archaeon. RNAcentral's name for it is "bacterial SSU rRNA". It matches the Rfam family "Archaeal small subunit ribosomal RNA", at positions 1 to 950 of the family's 1478-position model. The record is from RNAcentral.
UCUGGUUGAUCCUGCCCGACCCGACUGCUAUCAGAGUGGGACUAAGCCAUGCGAGUCAACGUAGCAAUGCGUGGCGAACGGCUCAGUAACACGUAGUCAACAUGCCCAGGGGACGUGGAUAACCUCGGGAAACUGAGAUUAAACCGCGAUAGGUCAAGAUUUCUGGAAUGGAUCGUGUCUUAAAUCUACAUGGCCCCUGGAUUGGACUGCGGCCGAUCAGGCUGUUGGUGAGGUAAUGGCCCACCAAACCUAUAACCGGUACGGGCUCUGAGAGGAGAAGCCCGGAGAUGGGCACUGAGACAAGGGCCCAGGCCCUAUGGGGCGCAGCAGGCGCGAAACCUCUGCAAUGGGCGAAAGCCUGACAGGGUUACUCUGAGUGAUUUCCGCUAAGGAGAUCUUUUGGCAGCUCUAAAAAUGGUGUAGAAUAAGGGGUGGGCAAGUCUGGUGUCAGCCGCCGCGGUAAUACCAGCACCCCGAGUGGUCGGGACGAUUAUUGGGCCUAAAGCAUCCGUAGCCGGUUCUGCAAGUCUUCCGUUAAAUCCAGCCGCUCAACGGAUGGGCUGCGGAAGAUACUAUAGGACUAGGAGGCGGGAGAGGCAAGCGGUACUCAGUGGGUAGGGGUAAAAUCCUUUGAUCCAUUGAAGACCACCAGUGGCGAAGGCGGCUUGCCAGAACGCGCUCGACGGUGAGGGAUGAAAGCUGGGGGAGCAAACCGGAUUAGAUACCCGGGUAGUCCCAGCUGUAAACGAUGCAGACUCGGUGAUGGGCCAGCCUUGUGCUAGCCCAGUGCCGCAGGGAAGCCGUUAAGUCUGCCGCCUGGGGAGUACGGUCGCAAGACUGAAACUUAAAGGAAUUGGCGGGGGAGCACCCACAGGGGUGAAGCCUGCGGUUUCAUUGGACUCAACGCCGGAGACUCUAGAGGAUCCCGGGUACGACUCA